Long non-coding RNA from Astatotilapia calliptera (eastern happy), 1011 nucleotides. Lineage: Eukaryota; Metazoa; Chordata; Actinopteri; Cichliformes; Cichlidae. The record is from Ensembl.
GCCCCAGCUGUGUUUCCCUCCUGUUAUUCAUUCCCUGAUUGCUCCCUCUUUGUAUUUAAGCCCUGUGUUUCUCUGUGUCCGUGUCGUGAUCUACCGUUUAUUUUGCUGUGUGUUUUGCCAGUCCACCGGUGUUAGUUUAUUUUCAGUUUUUCCCAGUUAUGUUAUGUUUGCGUUCAGCAUUAAAGCUGUUUUGGUUUAAGUUUGUCUCCGGAGUCUGCACCUUGGGUCCUAUUCCUGUUUGCACACAGCCGUCACAUACCACAUUCAGUCUGUGGAAGACUGUAAGGCUGUAAGUGAUCUGAGGGUCUUCUGAAUCGCUCUUUGUCUGGUCCCUCACCCAGGACCAAUUUGCCAUGGGAGACCCUACCAGGGGUAAAAGCCCCCAGACAACAUAGCCCCUGGGAUCCCUGGGACACACAAACCCCUCCACCACGAUAAGGUAGCGAUUCAAGGAGGACCACUUAGUGAUUUUUGUCAUAACACAAACAAGUCGUCAAGUCAAGCAGUUGAGGAAAGGGCUUAAGGAAACCAUGGUAUGGCCGCUUCUGACAGAAAGAUCAGACAUCAUUCUUCUUUUCUUACCAAGGGAAUCAGAGACUGCUCCCUGUUGUGAGCAUCUUGUGCACAACAAAAAGCCCUCAUCAAGUUUUGGACAGGAUGGGAAGUCUUGCCGAGAAAUGACUGUGGAAGUGGUCAACAGCAGUCUUCCAAAGUCUUCCACCGGUUUUGCGUACUACGUCUUCCUGCACACUACUGUACCUAUGAGUCAUUUCUAAUGGACAUUCAGGUGUGUCUCAACUCUACUGACUCAGGUUUUGGUCUGGUUUACAAUUGAUUCCAUAACGACAUGGUAAAAUUAGACCAUUUCUUCUUUCUUGCAUCACAUUACUGUAUUCAGUGUUCAAAGAAACGGACAAUCUAGUGAGUUCUAGUUUUUUUUUUUUUUUUUUUUUUUUGUUUUUUUUUUUGUUUAAUACACUUGACAGUGAAAAAUACACAGUACAGGUGAGC